This 254-nucleotide ribosomal RNA is filed under the name uncultured bacterium. RNAcentral's name for it is "partial 16S ribosomal RNA". It matches the Rfam family "Bacterial small subunit ribosomal RNA", at positions 524 to 776 of the family's 1533-position model. The record is from RNAcentral.
GACGAACCGUGCGAACGUUAUUCGGAAUCACUGGGCUUAAAGCGCGUGUAGGCGGGACGGCACGUCGGUCGCUGAAAUCCCCCGGCUUAACCGGGGAACUGGCGUCGAUACGACCGCCCUGGAGGGGCGUAGGGGGACCUGGAACUUCCGGUGGAGCGGUGAAAUGCGUUGAGAUCGGAAGGAACGCCCGUGGCGAAAGCGGUUCUCUGGGCCUUACCUGACGCUGAGGAGCGAAAGCGUGGGGAGCGAACAGG